Molecule: small RNA, 1985 nt
Filed under: Rattus norvegicus (Norway rat)
Lineage: Eukaryota; Metazoa; Chordata; Mammalia; Rodentia; Muridae
Description: uncharacterized LOC108351745
Source: RNAcentral
CAUAGAUUUUGAGCCUGUCAAACAUUGGAAGCUUGAACCAGAGAGACUACUGACCAGAGAUGCCUGAGCAUCAAGGACUUGCUUCAAAGCUUUUAGGUACUUGAAAUAUGAAGUCUACCUGCACAUGAGUGGCAGGAUUUGGCAUUUGUGUAUUUUAUCUGAAGUGUCACGAAUAAACUGCCAUACAACUCUGGAGCCACUGAGUUGACAGAUCACAGUAAACUAGACCUUGUGUAUGAUCAUAAAAAUACAAGGAUAACAGAAACAUAGCUGCCUUUGGAGGAAGAAGCUAUGAGGAACUGAAGUUAUAUCCACUUCAAAGUUAGUAUCUGUACUUUAUGAUAGUAAAAACUAGCCUGAAUUCACACUACUACUCUUAACGUUUAACGUACAGUGUGUAUAUAGUUAAAGGUGGAAGGAGGGGCAAGAAGGAUAGCUCAGUGGUUAAGAGCAUUUGCUGUUCUUCUGAAGGACUUGGAUCAGUUCUUAGGUCAGACAGUUCACAACUGCCUGUAACUCCAGCUCCAGGGCAUCUGUUCCCUUCUUCUGGACUCCAUGAGCAUUCACACUCAUGUGAGCAUAUAUAGACCCACAUGUACACAUAUUUAAAUAAGACAAAACAAAGUGAUCUAGUUAAUAUAAGCAAUAUCCUUUGCUCAUCGUUUCUGUGAACUGAUCUGUGUAGCUGUGUUCUGACCAGUGUUUCACAUUCUAACAUUAAUGAACUCCUACUAUCAUGACUAAAUCUAAUAAAUCCAUUACCUACUAAAAUGAUCAUUGAUAAUAACCAAAGCUUUUCUUUAAUAAUGCUGCUGCCUUGAAUAUAUCUAACAGUAAAUCUUCAUAGGUUUAACACUGUCCCACAACCCGUACUGGGUCAUUAGAUUACUUCUUCCUACUUUCAAUGCAUUAUCUUACAAUAUACAGUUGUCUAUGUCCUCACAUACUGAGUGAAUAUUAAUAUCAUAUUACUAGUGUUUUAUCAUUACUAGGUAAUGAAAGAAGUAGGCAAAACAACCAAAAGUGUUUCAUGAGCUCAAUAUACAUCCAUUUAUUAAUGCAUAUGCCAGCGAUUGCAUCAUACUAGGCAUUUGGAAAAGUCAUUAACAAAGCAGUCGCCUAAGAUCGAACACAAAUUAGUCAAUCUCACCAGCUUGUGUGUUUUCAGAUCCAGAAGCAGAAUGGUUGAGAGAGAUGGCACUAAAUCGCUCUGCUCCUCACAUACUAAACCAGCAUGUUUGCAAAACACAGUCAACAAUGUAACAGCGUCUUGAUCCUGGGCACAUAGGGAGUCUCCUCACAGCUGUGGCUGUAAGUUACAAUGACAAAGUGAUGUUCUGCAGCCAAAUAUUUAGAUACAGACUCUGGAAAGUCAAAUCAGAAACAAAAUCCAGACAAUGCAAGUAUCUGUAACUAAGUAGCAUUUGGGGCAUAUAAAGAAGACGAGUUACAAAAUCAUGAGUCAUUGACUUUGAUUUUAUUUUACAUUUUUCCCUCCUAAAUACAUAUGAAGUUGUGAGUUUUUGGGUUUUUUUUUUUUGCAAUCUAUUGUAGUGCUGCAUUCAGCAUAAACCAUUGAAUAUCUUUAAAAGAAACAUCUGGUUGUAGAGUGAAGUAGUCAUAAGUAUAUUGUUAGUAUUUUCCUUCCAACAAGUUACUUAUCAAAGGAAAGUUAAACAGUUCUUGCAUUCCAUGACUUUCCAAAGAAUGAAUCAGGGUAAAGCUGAGACAUAAUGCUACAUGGCAAAUGCAUUAGGUUACCUUUUUUUUUUCUUUUCUUCUUUUUAAAAUUACAAAUGUGAUGAGGGUGGGGCUGGCAGUUUUAAAGAACACAGUUUCAUCAAUGUAGUAACCAUUAACAAACUAUUUAGCAUUGCUUUGUGUAAGUUUUGCCUCGAGAGCAUUUCUUCACAGUGAUAUUUUAGAAAGGUUAGGAACUGGUCAGCAUAAAAUAUUUCCCACCUUUUCUAUUGUAAUUUGUAUGC